UACGGAGGGUGCAAGCGUUAAUCGGAAUUACUGGGCGUGAUGCGCACGCAGGCGGUUUGUUAAGUCAGAUGUGAAAUCCCCGGGCUCAACCUGGGAACUGCAUCUGAUACUGGCAAGCUUGAGUCUCGUAGAGGGGGGGUAGAAUUCCAGGUGUAGCGGUGAAAUGCGUAGAGAUCUGGAGGAAUACCGGUGGCGAAGGCGGCCCCCCUGGACGAAGACUGACGCUCAGGUGCGAAAGCGUGGGGGAGCAAACAGGAUUAGAUACCCUGGUAGUCCACGCCGUAAACGAUGUCGACUUGGAGGUUGUGCCCUUGAGGCGUGGCUUCCGGAGCUAACGCGUUAAGUCGACCGCCUGGGGAGUACGGCCGCAAGGUUAAAACU
Molecule: ribosomal RNA, 381 nt
Filed under: uncultured bacterium
Lineage: Bacteria
Description: bacterial SSU rRNA
Rfam family: Bacterial small subunit ribosomal RNA
Source: RNAcentral